CAUCCAGCGCAGACGACCAGAAGCGGCCCAUUCUCGUUGUUGCCCUGCUGGCUGACGGCCACACGAUGAUCCAAGCACAGUUUGAUAGAUUCGGCCGCUUCUCCGCUGCUCAGGCAUUCUUCCCGCUGGCAGAGCACUGGCUUCCAACCUUCAGUAGUUAAAGAACGAAGCGUAAUCAAAUAACGUAAAUUGAAACGAAAAAAUCAUGUUAGUCGUAAAAAAAAGCGGUCGUGAAAAGUAAUGUGGCACUCACCGUUAAGAGCGAAUCCUAUUACAUUAAAAAAAAGGGGGCGCGCCCAUCGGUCACGACGCGAAAGAGGGAAGACAUCGAACAAACCAUCAAAAAGCAAGAAGACAUGCAAAGGGAGUUGAGAUGUGAAGGAAAAAGAGAAAGAUGUGGUAGUAGUAUUUUGGAGAAGAAAAAAAGAAGAAAGAGAAUAAGAAUGAAAGAAAACAUUAAGAUGAACGCCAAGAAAACCACACGUUGAUUUAAAUGGAUACAACUGCUGCGUGUCUAAUUUGUUUAGUUUAAGGUUGUUUUUCUUUUAUGUCCGCUUCCUUUUUUUUUAUAUAUAUAUAUAUAUAUAAAUAUCAUUAUUAA
Long non-coding RNA from Daphnia carinata, 601 nucleotides. RefSeq lists it as uncharacterized. The transcript has 2 exons. The record is from RefSeq and is a predicted model, not a curated record. Lineage: Eukaryota; Metazoa; Arthropoda; Branchiopoda; Diplostraca; Daphniidae.